CAGAUUGCAGGCUGCAACCCGCCUGCAUGAAGUCGGAAUUGCUAGUAAUCGCGGAUCAGCAUGCCGCGGUGAAUACGUUCCCGGGCCUUGUACACACCGCCCGUCACACCAUGGGAGCCGGUAAUACCCGAAGUCAGUAGUCCAACCUCGUGAGGACGCUGCCGAAGGUAGGAUUGGCGACUGGGGUGAAGUCGUAACAAGGUAAC
RNAcentral lists this ribosomal RNA (206 nucleotides) under uncultured bacterium. RNAcentral's name for it is "partial 16S ribosomal RNA". It matches the Rfam family "Bacterial small subunit ribosomal RNA", at positions 1294 to 1500 of the family's 1533-position model. The record is from RNAcentral.